ACCCAGGGCUCACGGCGGACAUUUUGAUUCACUUAGCUCCGGAGACCCUCUCCUCUCUGAGUAAUGGAGAAGAUUAGACUAGUGAUAUUACUAAUACAAUGGAUGGAGAGGGAGCAAGAGGGAGGGAGGGAUGGAGGGAGGGAGGGCCAGGUAGGAAGGAGGGAAGGAGGGAGGGAAGCCUUGGGGCUGUGACGUUGCUAACACAAUGGAGAGGGGGAAAGAGGGGAGGAAGGUGAAGGGGAGAGGGAGAGCGUAGCCUAGAUCUUGAGACGUUUACAGUACAAUGGAGAGAUUGAAGAAAGGGAGGCCGGGAUGGAGGGAUGGCUGGAGAGAGAGAGGGAAGGGAGAGUUAAGCCUUGGACUUGUGACGUUUAUAGUACAAUGGAGAGAUUGAAGAAGGGAUAGAAAGGAAGAGAGGAAAGGUUGGGUAAAGGGAAAGAGAGCUAGAGAAGAAGAGAGGAGAGUGAAGGGAUAGAAAGGAAGAGAGGAAAGGUUGGGUAAAGGGAAAGAGAGCUAGAGAAGAAGAGAGGAGAGUGAAGGGAUAGAAAGGAAGAGAGGAAAGGGAGGGAGGGAGAAGCUGAGCCUGGAGGACAUUUAAAGAGAGGGAUGAUGAAGGGAGAGAGAGGGGAAAUAGAGAAAGACAGAUGUGAGGGAAAUACAGAAAGACAGGUAGGAAGAUAUAUAGAGUGCAUUCAGAAAGUUUUCCCACAUUUCACAGCCUUAUUCUAAAAUGGAUUAAAUACUUUUUUUUCUCAUCAAUCUACACACCACACCACCGUUUUUUUUUUAAAUGUUUGCAAAUGUAUGAAAAAUAUCAAACUGAGAUAUCACAUUUACAUACGUUUUCAGACCCUUUACUCAGUGCUUUGUUGAAGCACCUUUGGCAGCGAUUAAAACCGUGCGUCUUCUUGGGUAUGACUUUCCAAGCUUGGCACACCAGUAUUUGUGGAGUUUCUCCUGUUCUUCUCUUCAGAUCCUCUCAAGCUCUGUCAGGCUGGAUGGGGAGCGUUGCUGCACAGCUAUUUUCAGGUCUUUCCAGAGAUGUUCCAUCGGGUUCAAAUCCAGGCUCUGGCUGGGCCACUCAAAGGCAUUCAGAGACUUGUCCAAAAGCCACUCCUGCGUUGUCUUGGCUGUGUGCUUAGGGUCGUUAUCCUGUUGGAAGGUGAACCUCCACCCCAGUCUGAGGUCCUGAGCCCCCUGGAGCAGGUUUUCAUCAAGGAUCUCUCUGUACUUUGCUCAGUUCAUCUUUCUCUCGAUCCUGCCUAGUCUCCCAGUCCCUGCUGCUGAAAAACAUCCCCACAGCAUAAUGCUGCCACCAACAUGCUUCACAGUAGGGAUGGGGCAAGGUUUCCUCCAGGCGUGAUGCUUGGCAUUCAAGCCAAAGAGUUCAAUCUUGGUUUCAUCAGACCAGAGAAUCAUGUUUCUGAUGGUCUGAGUGUCCUUUAGGUGCCUUUUGGCAAACUCCAAGUGGGCUGUCAUGUGCCUUUUACUGAGGAGUGGCUUCCAUAAAGGCCUGAUUGGUGGAGUGCUGUAGAAAUAUCUCAGCUGAGCUCCAUUUCGAGUCUCAUAGCAAAAGCUCUGAACACUUAUGUAAAUAAGGUAAUUCUGUUUUUUAUUUGUAAUAAAUUUACACAUUCUAAAAACCUGUUUUCACUUUGUCAUUAUGAGGUAUUGUGUGUAGAUUGAUGAAGAAAAAUAAUUAUUUAAUACUUUUUAGAAUAAGACUAACGUAAAAAAAAGUCAAGGGUUUUGAAUACUUUCCGAAUGCACGAGAGAGAGAGAGAUUCGGAACAGCUUGCAGCUCACCAAAAGCAUAGGAGAUGAUUACCAUGUUAUGAAAUAUCUUUAUGAAGAAAGCAGAAAGGGUUUUCUAGGACUCAGAGGCAUAAUGUUAUACUUAUUAAGACAUACAAAGUGAAAAUGUUUCAUGGUGAGGGAGAGACGGAGAGAGAAUUAGGAAGGGAGUGGAGAGGUGUUUAGAAACAGAAGGAAUGUGAUCUGCCUCAAGCCUCUCUCUCUCUCUUUUGGUGAGCUGUCUCUCUCUCUCUGUCUUUUUCUCUCUCUCUUUCUUCUUUUUCUCUCUCCCUUUCUGUCUUUCACUCUCUCUCCCUUUCUCUCUCCCUCUCUUUCAUGCUGUAUUUUCUCUCCCUUUCUCUCUUUCUCUUUUUCUCUCUCUUUCUCACUUUCUCUUUCUCUUUCUCUCUCUCCCUUUCUCCCUUUCUCUCUCCCUCUUUCUCACUUUCUCUGUUUCUUUCUCUCCCUUUCUCUCUCUCUCCCUUUCUCUCUUUCUCUCUCCUUCUUUCUCUCUCUCUCGCGCUCUCUCUCUCUGGCUGUGACUGAUGAAAUGGCAAUCACAGAGGGAGACCGUGUGUGUUUUCAUUUGGGAGAAGUGUAUAUGCACAAGGGCAUCAACCUUGCUUUGAAGUGUGUUCUGCAGAGACUCCUUUCUCUCUAUUCCUUGUGCUUAUUUGCCUGUGUGUUUGGUGUGUGUGCUGUGUGUGGGUGUGUGUGUUCAACUCAACUGAUCAAUGAUCCCUCCCGUCUGCCCUGAGAUGAUUUCGAAAGCCACUUAGCCAGAUUGACCUAAAUGAACGUAACACACACGCACACACACAGAAUGCUGCCACAAAGGAAAGGAAACAGCACAGGUUGAGUAUUGUUGACUAAUGUUCAACAACAACCCACACAAUACAGCCAUUAUACAAAUAAAGAAACGCAUUGACAACAAACUAUUAACAAAUGCAUAUCGAGGCUAUCCGAUUGAUGGAAAUGCUGUUCUGAAGACCAGACCCAUAUCGCUAAAUACCUGUCUAUGGCUCUGCUAAAGACCAGACCCAUAUCUCUAAAU
Molecule: long non-coding RNA, 2848 nt
Filed under: Salmo salar (Atlantic salmon)
Lineage: Eukaryota; Metazoa; Chordata; Actinopteri; Salmoniformes; Salmonidae
Description: lncRNA (ENSSSAG00000094558.1)
Source: RNAcentral